This 708-nucleotide ribosomal RNA is filed under the name uncultured Alphaproteobacteria bacterium. RNAcentral's name for it is "bacterial SSU rRNA". It matches the Rfam family "Bacterial small subunit ribosomal RNA", at positions 35 to 789 of the family's 1533-position model. The record is from RNAcentral. Lineage: Bacteria; Pseudomonadati; Pseudomonadota; Alphaproteobacteria.
GCUGGACGGCAUGCCUAAUACAUGCAAGUCGAACGAGUACUUCGGUCUAGUGGCGGACGGGUGAGUAACGCGUAGGAACCUACCAAGCAGUGGGGAAUAACAGUUGGAAACGACUGCUAAUACCGCAUACGCCCUUCGGGGGAAAGAUUUAUCGCUGUUUGAGGGUCCUGCGUUCGAUUAGCUAGUUGGCGGGGUAACGGCCCACCAAGGCAACGAUCGAUAGCUGGUCUGAGAGGAUGAUCAGCCACACUGGGACUGAGACACGGCCCAGACUCCUACGGGAGGCAGCAGUAGGGAAUAUUGGACAAUGGGGGAAACCCUGAUCCAGCAAUGCCGCGUGCGUGAAGAAGGCCUUAGGGUUGUAAAGCGCUUUCACCUGUGACGAUGAUGACGGUAACAGGAGAAGAAGCCCCGGCUAACUCCGUGCCAGCAGCCGCGGUAAUACGGAGGGGGCUAGCGUUGUUCGGAAUUACUGGGCGUAAAGGGCGUGUAGGCGGCGAAUUUAGUUAGGCGUGAAAGCCCCGGGCUCAACCUGGGAACUGCGCUUAAUACUGAUUUGCUAGAGUCCGGGAGAGGCUAGUGGAAUAUCCAGUGUAGAGGUGAAAUUCGUAGAUAUUGGAUGGAACACCGAUGGCGAAGGCAGCUAGCUGGACCGGUACUGACGCUGAGGCGCGAAAGCGUGGGGAGCAAACAGGAUUAGAUACCCUG